GCCGGGUUAGCACAGUGGUAGUGCAGCGGUUUUGUAAACCGCAGGUCGUCAGUUCGAUCCUGACACCCGGCU
RNAcentral lists this transfer RNA (72 nucleotides) under Burkholderiales bacterium. Its description in RNAcentral is "tRNA-Thr". It matches the Rfam family "tRNA". Rfam says of the family: Transfer RNA (tRNA) molecules are approximately 80 nucleotides in length. Their secondary structure includes four short double-helical elements and three loops (D, anti-codon, and T loops). RNAcentral also lists the same sequence under 1 other name. Lineage: Bacteria; Pseudomonadati; Pseudomonadota; Betaproteobacteria; Burkholderiales. The record is from RNAcentral.